RNAcentral lists this ribosomal RNA (256 nucleotides) under uncultured bacterium. Its description in RNAcentral is "partial 16S ribosomal RNA". It matches the Rfam family "Bacterial small subunit ribosomal RNA", at positions 524 to 776 of the family's 1533-position model. The record is from RNAcentral.
GACGUAGGUGGCGAACGUUAUCCGGAAUUAUUGGGCGUAAAGGGUGCGUAGGUGGCCUGGCAAGUUAUUAGUGGUAAAUCGAGGCUCAACCUCGUGGAAACUAGUAAUACUGUUCGGCUUGAGUGCAGGAGAGGUUAACGGAACUCUAUGUGGAGGGGUAAAAUCCAUAGAUAUAUGGAUGAACAUCAAUAACGGCGAAGGCAGUUAACUAUUCUGUUACUGACACUGAGGCACGAAAGCGUGGGAAGCAAAACGG